Molecule: long non-coding RNA, 603 nt
Filed under: Podarcis lilfordi (Lilford's wall lizard)
Lineage: Eukaryota; Metazoa; Chordata; Lepidosauria; Squamata; Lacertidae
Source: RNAcentral
CUCUGCUUAAAGACCUCCAAAGAAGGAGACUCCACCACACUCCUUGGCAGCAAAUUCCACUGUCGAACAGCUCUUACUAUCAGGUAGAUUGUGUGUUUCUUGUAGGAAGGCAAUGUGUGAUUUCAUGGUGUUUACAUACGAGGUGAUGCGGUUUCUUUUGCUGCGGUUUCCCAACCCCCUCAUGUUUAGUUUAAUUGCUUUUAAACUAGCCAUUCUGUUUGUCUACUUUAUAGGUUAAUUCCCUGCCAGCCUGUCUGGGUUGUCCUGUGUCUCUCACUGUGUCUAUCAAACCUAUUGUGUUGCAUUGACAUAAAGUGUGAUGGGUGGGGGAAUAGGUGGAUUAGAGUUAGAUUUGAACUAAAGAGUGGGGGAAAGAUUACAGAAAGUAGCCUAUACAGUGGUACCUCUAGUUACGAACGCUUCAGGUUACAAGCUCUGCUAACCUGGAAGUAGCUGUUCUUGGUUGCGAACUUUGCCCCAGGAUGCGAAUGGGAAUUGCGUGCUGGAGGCGUGCACGCAGCGGGAAGCCCCAUUAGGAAAAGCACGGCUCAGGAUAAGAACGGUUUCAGCUUAAGAAUGGACCUCCGGAACGAAUUAAGUUCA